This 744-nucleotide small RNA is filed under the name Pan troglodytes (chimpanzee). RNAcentral's name for it is "processed transcript". The record is from RNAcentral. Lineage: Eukaryota; Metazoa; Chordata; Mammalia; Primates; Hominidae.
GAGAGCUAACUUGGGGUCUUUUCCCAAGGUGGAUGUAGAAGCGGGCUCCGGCGUCCCACUCUCCCUUCCAUAUGGGCUUAGCGUCUGGGUCACUGAGAACGACGUCUGAAUAGGGCCCUGGGUCCUUGCCAUGGAUGAAUGUGGUUCCCGCAUCCGCCGGCGGGUGUCUCUCCCCAAAAGGAACCGUCCAAGCCUGGGGUGUAUUUUUGGCGCUCCCACCGCGGCCGAGCUCGAGCCCGGAGAUGAGGGGAAAGAGGAGGAGGAAAUGGUGGCUGAGAACAGGAGGCGGAAAACCGCGGGCGUACUGCCGGUUGAGGUACAGCCCCUUCUACUCUCAGAUUCCCCGGAAUGUCUCGUCCUUGGAGGUGGUGAUACAAACCCGGACCUCCUACGUCACGUGCCCACUGACAGAGGGGUGGGAGACCAGGUACGGAGGACUUGGAACUUGAAACUGCAAACUUUUGGCAUCCUUCCCAGAUGCAAAGAGUUGACCAGUUUUAUCGCCUUUGUUUACUUCUCUCGUCUUCGUUACCACUGUUAAUCGGCAUUUAGGAGCCUAAUGACAGUGAAGUGGACAUGUUUGGUGACUAUGAUAGCUUUACAGAAAACUCCUUUAUAGCUCAAGUUGACGACCUGGAACAAAAAUAUAUGCAACUCCCUGAACAUAGGAAACAUGCUACAGACUUUGCCACUGAAAAUCUUUGCUCGGAAAGUAUCAAAAACAAACUCAGCAUUACUACCAUA